Molecule: long non-coding RNA, 641 nt
Filed under: Lynx pardinus (Iberian lynx)
Lineage: Eukaryota; Metazoa; Chordata; Mammalia; Carnivora; Felidae
Source: RNAcentral
GGUGUGUGCACAGAGAAGACACCAAGUGAGGAUACAGGAAGAAGGUAGCCUCCUACAAGCCAGGAAGAGAGGGUUCACCAAAGACCAGCCCUGACUGAUAUAUAUUGAUUAUUGUUAUACCAGGUUUUCUCCAUUAAAGUCAAUUCGGGUCCAUCCAUAAUGUCAGAAGCAUGUUCUAGAGUUAACUGAGGUGACCCCUGAAUGAGGAGCUCAGUCAGAUAGGAAGCCAUUGGAAGGUAAAUCAGGUUGCUAAAUCACUCACAGUUCUUUCACUGCCAGACCAACUCAGCACAAAAAGUAGAAUUUGUGGCAGAGACAUCUUUUUGUUGAAUCCAAAUUAAAGGAAAAUGCCACAAAGGGUAAGUGGACAGAAAUUUUCAAGAAAGAGUCAUUCUUUGGAAAAGUGAAAAAGUAUCACCAAUCAGGAAUACCAUUCUUACUACUGUCAGAUGUAAUUUGAGCUAACCACCAUUUAAUGUGGGUCCAAUUAUUAUUAGUAACCAAUAGUAUGAAAAUGAAUUAGAAUUCUGUGUCAGAAAUAUCCAUACUUAACCCAAGAGGGAAAUAAAAUUAUAACAAAUAAAAUAAAAUAAUACAUUGCCUAAUUGGAAAGACAUGGUGGAAACAUAUAAAAUUUUGCA